UGCGGAGGGAUCAUUACAGAGUUUUUGCCCGCAAGGGUAGAUCUCCCACCCUAUGUUAUUCCUUCUCUGUUGCUUUGGCGGGCCGCCCGGCCUCGGUCAGGCCACCGGCUCCGGCUGGUGAGCGCCCGCCAGAGGACCCUAAACCCUAAAUGUCAGUGUCGUCUGAGUACUAUAUAAUAGUUAAAACUUUCAACAACGGAUCUCUUGGUUCUGGCAUCGAUGAAGAACGCAGCGAAAUGCGAUAAGUAAUGUGAAUUGCAGAAUUCAGUGAAUCAUCGAAUCUUUGAACGCACAUUGCGCCCCCUGGUAUUCCGGGGGGCAUGCCUGUUCGAGCGUCAUUACAACCCUCAAGCAAUGCUUGGUAUUGGGCUCCGCCGCUUACCCGGCGGGCCUUUAAACCAGUGGCGGCGCCGUCGAGGCCCUGAGCGUAGUAAAUCUCCUCGCUAUAGGGACCCGGCGGACGCUGGCCAUCAACCCCCACCUUCUUAGUUUGACCUCGGAUCAGGUAGGGAUACCCGCUGAACUUAAGCAUAUCAAUAAGCGGAGGAAAAGAAACCAACAGGGAUUGCCUCAGUAACGGCGAGUGAAGCGGCAACAGCUCAAAUUUGAAAUCUGGCCCUCUCAGGGUCCGAGUUGUAAUUUGUAGAAGAUGCUUCGGGUGUGGCUCCGGUCUAAGUUCCUUGGAACAGGACGUCAUAGAGGGUGAGAAUCCCGUAUGUGACUGGCUGCCUUCGCCCAUGUGAAGCUCUUUCGACGAGUCGAGUUGUU
This 768-nucleotide ribosomal RNA is filed under the name fungal sp. RNAcentral describes it as "eukaryotic LSU rRNA". The stretch from base 492 to 768 matches the Rfam family "Eukaryotic large subunit ribosomal RNA", at positions 1 to 274 of the family's 3401-position model. Lineage: Eukaryota; Fungi. The record is from RNAcentral.